Molecule: ribosomal RNA, 483 nt
Filed under: uncultured bacterium
Lineage: Bacteria
Description: partial 16S ribosomal RNA
Rfam family: Bacterial small subunit ribosomal RNA
Source: RNAcentral
GACGAACGCUGGCGGCGUGCUUAACACAUGCAAGUCGAACGCUGAAGCUCAGCUUUUGUUGGGUGGAUGAGUGGCGAACGGGUGAGUAACACGUGAGUAACCUGCCUCCUUCUUUGGGAUAACGCCCGGAAACGGGUGCUAAUACUGGAUAUUCACUGGUCUUCGCAUGGGGGUUGGUGGAAAGGGUUUUUCUGGUGGGGGAUGGGCUCGCGGCCUAUCAGCUUGUUGGUGGGGUGAUGGCCUACCAAGGCUUUGACGGGUAGCCGGCCUGAGAGGGUGACCGGUCACAUUGGGACUGAGAUACGGCCCAGACUCCUACGGGAGGCAGCAGUGGGGAAUAUUGCACAAUGGGCGCAAGCCUGAUGCAGCGACGCCGCGUGAGGGAUGAAGGCCUUCGGGUUGUGAACCUCUUUCGCUCAUGGUCAAGCCGCAACAAUGGUUGUGGUGAGGGUAGUGGGUAAAGAAGCGCCGGCUAACUACGUG